This is a long non-coding RNA of Cygnus olor (mute swan), 4381 nucleotides long. RefSeq lists it as uncharacterized. The transcript has 2 exons. NCBI's taxonomy places the organism in Eukaryota, Metazoa, Chordata, Aves, Anseriformes, Anatidae. The record is from RefSeq and is a predicted model, not a curated record.
CUGCUGUGCUUCCAAAAAGGGCUUUGCUGUCUCAGGGAAAAGGGGCAAAUCUUGAUGCUGUGCAACAUCAAGGCGGCCUGGUGCUAGAGAAGAGGUUAAAUGACUCGGGGGAGUCAUUUUAGGGCUCUUUAUGGUGGCGUGGGAGUGCUGUGGCUGGUAACCGCAUGUACAAGCAUCAGCUCGGGCAGAAAUCAACGGUGCACAAAUUUUCUACACAGCUCGUUUGUCUCCCCUCCUGCCGUGCGGCUGCCUCCUCUCUAUUCCAAGCAGCUGCUUUCUGGGGCUGAGGAGCUCCAGUGGUUUGGUAAGGCAAGGGUUUAUACGGGUGCAUCGGUGCAGCUUUGGGGUUGCUUCACUGGGACAAGUCCCCCGUCACAACAAACAACCCUGGUAGUUAAACAGACCAAACGGAAGGACAGCUCGGAAACAGCUGCGGCUUGUUUUAAACGUGCACUUAUCAGGCUUGUAUCUCGCAUUCCUGGGGAAGGCGCUUUCUGCAGCUGGAGGGCUCUGCCAUGGGAAGGGUUCAAACCCCAGGCGCGGGUUAAGUGGCUCUUUGCCCUGACAGCUCAGGUUUCAGCCCCGCACACCUUCACCAGCCAAGAGCCAGCUGGCAGCAGAGGGCUGACAGGUUAUAAAAAGAAAAAAAAAAAAAAGCCAGCACCCUCCCUCCUUCCUUCUUAGUUUCCUACUUCUGUGCUUAACCACGUGGCGCGUCGGGGCUGGCGGAAGAAAAUCCCACGCUGGGUGUGCCCAAUGCUCUCCUCAGCUGUUGACCUCCGUGCCUAUUCCUCCUCUUCUUCACAGCUGGGUUUCGAUAGCUUGGGCCCAGCCCUCUCUGCAAAUCCACUUUUUUGGUCAUUUUUCCGCCCUUUUACUGCAUCUCUCCGGCCUGCGUGCAGUGACGUGCUUGGGAAAAGCCCGUCUCCUGCAGGUCAGUGCCCGCGCUGUUAAAACCCGGGUGCUGCAGCAGCUGGGUCUUGCUCAUGUGCCGCAACGUGCUUCCCUCCCUCGAGCAAAUCGCCAUCUCGGGCUGGCCUGCUGCAGUCCUGGCAGCGUUUUCAGCAGCAGCCACGUAGGGAGGAUGCUUUUAUUAAACAGCAGAUCCGUCUGCAUCACGCUGCCUCGGCUUCUUGCGCUGCUGCUGAUUGCCUGGAGCGGGUGAGAUGCCUCCCUCCGCUCCCAUUGACCUCUCCAGCUCCGCACCCGCGGCCCCGGGAUGCUCCUGCGAUUGCAAAGCGAGAUUUCAUCCUCCGCCAGCUGGCAAAUCAGUCUCUGCAUCGCCCCGAGCCCACAGCGGUUAAACGCUGCCUUAAUUCAGCUUGGGGAGAAACGUCUCAGCGGGAGGAGAAGAAAAACUAGCCAAGCCUGAAAGUCUUCGGCGUAAACAGCCCCAAGUCCAUCGCUGGGAGCACAGACGUGCUGUUUUGUGAUCCCUGCUCCGGUGGCUUCAUUUUCCCUUGCUUUUUUCAGCUGUUGCUCUGACAAACCUCCUGGAAAUUUGCUCCUGGGGGUUCACCACCUGCCUGCGCCCUGGGGCUGCUCCCUUUGGGUGGCUCCGUGCUGCCCCCUCUUGCCUCUCCUGUUCCCCAUGCUGCGAACCAGAGCUUGGAGGAGGAAAGAUGGGUGUCCGGUCCAGCAGGCAGCCAAAGGAGCUCUGAUGUGGCUGAAAAUAAAUGGCCAAAAAUGAGAAGAAAACGGGAAGAGGAAGGAAGGAGGAAUACUCUUUUUUUUUGGGGGGGGGGGAGGAUAGAGCGUGAGUGCGGCAUCUCUGCUGCCUCAGCCUGCAGGUAGCAAACCCCAAAUGCCCUCCCUGUGCCAGUGGCCAGCCAGAGCUGCUGGCUGGGGGUUAUGGGGGCUGCAGCCCUUUCUGACAGCAGCAUUAAGCACGUUUUUGGGGUGGCUGCUAACGCUGGCGGUCCUGGGAGCGUUAUGCAGGAGCACAAAGGCGUUGUGCUGAGGAUGCACGUAGCCGCUGCGUGUCAGCGGUGUGCUUCCAGCCAUCAGACGGGAGCCAUCGACUCGCUCAAAUGGCGGAAAGGAGCCAAAAUGCACAGCGCUGAUGCUGGGAGGCCUUUUUGGACUACAUAUCGAUUUUUCUACGGUACAGCGGUCAAGAAAGGGCUGGCUUGCCCGUGUCUUGCAGCUGCUGAAAGCUUUCAGCAAGCCUUCCUCCUGGAGGUGCUCGUGUCCCUGUGGAAAUUUUAAGAAUGAGUUUUAGGGAUAAAACUAUUAAGUGGAGCAAGAGUUCCGGUGGUGGUGCUCACAUCUCACCCACUGCACAGCACGCGUGGGGUUAGCCGAAAUGAUGCCGAACGGCACCUGCAGUCACGGCACUGGCUUACGGGAGUCCUGGGUUUCCCAUCCCAAGGUACUUGCAGGUUCCCUGCACCAAAAUGCCAUGCAGUCAAAGAUUUUGGAUGGUUUCGGUUAACGAGCGGAAAGGGGGAGCUUCCCCUCUGCCCAGCAUGGCAUGAACUAGCUCCUCGGUGGUAAGAGCUGAAGGUGGAAAUGUUAGACCUACUUGGUCCAGACGAGAGCUGAGCCUUGAAGGUUUUCCAUCCUGCUGCUGGCACGAGAAGCGGGGCGGGCUGGGCCCAGCCCCAUCUUUUUGCAGAGCACAAGGAGCUGCACGGCCCCUCCAGGUGAGCCUGGAGAAAGGGCUCAGCUCCGACAGCGCGUUAGCAAGAAAAACAGUUUGCUCCGUGUCGAUGGAGGCUGACUCACGGAGAUGCCAUCUCGGGGACGCGUGACCGUGGGUGGGCAGAGCUGACACAGGCAGGAGGGCGCCCGGCUUGGCCGUAGCAAACUCGGAGCAGCUGCUGAAGGCGCUGGUGGCUGACACAGAGCAUGGCCAGCUUCUAGGGGGCAUCCACCAGGAUCAGAGCAGCAAGCCCGUAGCGACGUCCCUAGGUCCCUGUGUUCAAGCUCCCCACCCCUUUCUCUUCUUGUACUCUCCAGGCUCUCACUUUUUUGUCCCUUUCCAGCCCGUGAGCAGCAGGCUUUCAGAUCUCGGGUAGCUCCAUCUCUGUUCCCUUGCGUCUACCAACUGAGCACGUGCACCAGCAAAGCUGUUUUGGUGCAGGAACCCUUCACUGGUGGCAAGUCCUUGCCCUGAAGCUUUCAAACGAAAGGGUUGUUAGGCAUUGGAAUGGGCUGCCCAGGGAAGUGGUUGAGUAGCCAUCCCUGGAGGUCUUUAAAAGAUGUUUAGAUGUAGAGCUUAGGGAUGUUUGGUUUAGUGGAGGACUUGUUAGUGUUAGGUCAGAGGUUGGACUCGGUGAUCUUGGAGGUCUCUUCCAACCUAGACAAUUCUGUGAUUCUGUGAAACGCCACGUUAGCUCCUGGGGAGAGGCGACUUGCUGAGCCAAUGCCAGCGCUAAAGCAGGGGCUUUCCAACACCUUCCCACUCCGAAGCUGCUUUGCAGAGCGCAGCUGCUGCCGUUUCAGCAUCACGAUGCCUCACGUGUACGCUGUGCGUGCAGCCCCUGGGACUGCGCGGUGCCCACACCAGCACCCAGCACAGCAGGAGUCCCCAGCGUCUCCAAACCUCGAGAGCCGCCUCCUCGCGGCACAUCGCACCGGGUGUAACAUCCCUGAUGGCUCAAAGACCUGCUCAACAGGGAGAAGUGAUGUUAGGAGCGUGGAUGCACUUUUAAUUUAAUUUAAUGCCAUUUAGGAGGUUAAUGCUUCUGCUGGUUCCUACGGGAGCUGCUCGUGGACUGUUCCGACCACUCGCGCUGAAGAACACCCGUGCUAGCUGAGAGCUCGGCAGCAAGCAGAGGCAGCAGCACAUGGGGAGACCAGCAGGGAAGCAGCACUCACCGCCGCUAUGGCAAUCCUGCUAACAGCACCGCGUCAGGUCUCCCUGCGGAACAAGUGGAGCAGAGCCGGGGAUUUUGGCUCAUUCUCACGUGCCGGCUCCGAAUGAGGUUGCCCAAAAUGCUAAAUAUUUAUCGCGGCUUCACCCGAAGUGAGGCCAGUCCUCCCGUACCUCGAGCUGCCCCAGAAGGGGUGAUUCGGGUCUCGUAGCAGUGCCUGCCCUGCUGCUUCUGUCUUUAGGGCAUGCUGUGCUCCAGGACCCCAUGGCUUGGGUGCAGGCUGGAUGAGGAGCUGAAAUCAGUCUGUUCACUGGGUAUCUUUGCCUAGCUUAUCCUGAUGUAAGGUUUCCUAGCCAUUUUUUUUUUUUAAAUGGCAUUUCUUCGUUGUCCCAUUCCCCAUUUUAUUGGGAAUUCUGGCACCAUUCCAGAGAGGGCUGCAGGUCAGACAAGGCACCUUGGCUUUCCUCAAUCUCCUCGUUGCUCGUUGGCUGAAAACCCCACUGCCCUAUCCAUGUUUUUAACAAUGCCCAUAAAUAUACAUAUGGUAAAAAAAACAUAAACCC